UGGUAGAUAAGAAGCUGGACAUGAGCCAGCAGUGUGCACUUGCAGCCAGGAAGGCCAACUGUGUUCUGUGUUGCUUUAAAAAAGGGUUGGCCAGCAAGGAGAGGGAAUUGAUUGUGCCCCUCUACUCAGCUCUUGUGAGGCCCCAUCUGGAGUACUGCGUCCAGGCCUGGGGCCCCCAGUACAGGAAGGACGUGGAGCUCUUGGGGCAGGUCAAGAGGAGGGCCACGAAGAUGAUCAGAGGGCUGGAGCACCUCUCCUCUGAAGUAAGAGUGAGGGAACUGAGCUUGUUUAGCUUGGAAAUGAGAUGGCUCUGGGGAGACCUCAUUGUGGCCUUUCAGUACUUGAAGGGAGCAUAUAAACCGGAGGGGGAAUGGCUGUUUACGAGCGUGGAUAGUGAUAGGACAAGGGGGAAUGGCUUUAAACUGAGACAGGAGGUUUAGGUUGGAGAUUAGGAGGAAGUUUUUCACUCAGAGGGUGGUGACACACUGGAACAGGUUUCCCAAGGAGGUUGUGGAUGCCCCAUCCCUGGAGGCCUUCAAGGCCAGGCUGGAUGUGUCUCUGGGCAGCCUGGUCUAGUGGAUGGCAAUCCUACACAUAGCAGGGGGGUUGAAACUCAGUGAUCGCUGUGGUCCUUUUCAACCCACGCCAUUCUAUCAUUCUAUGAUUCUAUGAUUAUUACAUGUUAAUCUAGAUCAUAUGCUUGUGAAAUAACACCAAAUUAACUUUGAAAAGAAAAGAAAACGGAUUCAUGCAACAUUUUAAGUACUUUUGUCUUUUUCUUCUUACACUGACUGCAUAUUUUCAAUUAAAGUUAAUAGAAAUACUAGUUUAAUUAAG
This 837-nucleotide long non-coding RNA is filed under the name Gallus gallus (chicken). Its description in RNAcentral is "lncRNA (ENSGALG00010000905.1)". Lineage: Eukaryota; Metazoa; Chordata; Aves; Galliformes; Phasianidae. The record is from RNAcentral.